AUGAGGGAGAAUAUUCUUAUCUUUUCAAGAUCAAAACAAAGAAUAUGUAAAAAUUACCACUGUAUAUGAGGUUAACUGUAUGGUCUUGUAGCCACACUAUCAAAUAGAGGAAGUUUUCUAAUUUGUUCUCAGUUUUUGUCAUAAAUGGCUGUUACAUUUUGUCAAUUUUUUGUGUCCAUUGAAAUGAUAAUAUGUUUUGCCUGUAUUUAUAUGGUGAAUGGUAUAAACUUAUUUUUGAAUAUUAAACUAUACUUACAUAAGUAAACACAUAUGUGUGAUAUAUUUUCUUCCUUAUACCCUUUCUAGAUUUGAUUUGCUAAUAUUUUGCUAUACAUUUUAAAUCUAUGCCAGAGGUAAAUACUUUUUCCAUAAAAGAAGAAAGAAGUACUUUCACUUUAUGGGGUCUAACUGCUUAUCUCUGCUCUCCUAACAUAAAAACAGCUAUGGACAAUGUAUGAAUGAAUGGUUACGGCUGGAUUUAUCUGGUAGGUUCUGAUUUCUAUGCACACAGUGACACCAGUCUGUGGCUUUCUUUUCUUGUAAUGACUUUGUCAUGAUUAUGUAUAAGGGAUAUAUUGUCUCAUGAAACUUCUUGGAAUAUAUUUCUUCUUCCUCAUUUUCUGAAGAAUACUGUUCAUUAGAAAAUGUUUUCCUUAAAGUUUGAAUAAUUUCCAAAGUGAAAGUAUCUGGGAACGAAAUGUUCCUUAUGAUAAAGUUUCAUAAUUGGAAACUUAAAUUAAUAGAUUAAAAAGCUCCAUCAGGAUCUAUACUGCAGAUGAUAAUUCUAGCCUCAGGAUAAAACAGAAAAAAUAAUGAUAUUAAAACUCUAGAAAAUAAUCUAAAUCAAGAAGAUUCUAGAGUGUAGUAAGAACUUAGAAGAAAGGACUAGCACAAUAUAAGUUUCCUAUUUUCAAAGUAUUCAGACUGAAAGUAGGACAAAGUUCCAUGUGGAGCAACAAAACUCAGAAAAUCUACAUUUUUUUGUUGUUUAAUUAUUGAAAGACUAGAAUUCAGGCAACCAGAGCUACUGGAAAGUGAGAAAUAAAUGCUACAAAGGAGAGAUUCACAGAGAAGAAGCCACCACUGUGAUGCAUAAACAUGCACAACUCUUUGGUUGACCAUUAAAUAAAUAACCAUCUAAAUGAGAUCUGAACUUCAACCAAGUAAACUGCUUAAUAAAGCAAAAACAUCAAUAUGCUUUAGAAAAACAGAAUGAUCUAGAGUCUCCAAAACAUAACAUUCACGAUAUUCAAGAUUCAAUCCAAAAUUUUUCAUCAUACAAAUAAUCAUGAAAACUUAUCUAACUCACAGGUAAAGUUAAUCAAAUGAGGCCAAACAUAAGAUGAUACAAAUAUUGGAAUGUAUAGGCAUAGAUUUUAAAGCUACCCUUACAAUCAUAAACUGAAGGAAAGUAUAUCUGUAAUAAAUGAAAAGAUAGAAACUAUCAGCAAAUAAGUAAAAACUAAUAAAUUACAACAACACAAAGUAAUCAUAGAGCUCAUAAUAACAUUAUCUGAAAUUUGAAAUCUACUGGUUUAGUGGAAGAGCAGAAUGGUGAAAAAAAGAGGAACCUAAAGAUAGAAAUAAUCCAACAUGAGAAUAAAAGAGAAAAAAUAUUUUAAAAAGAACAAAAGGAGCUUCAGAGACCCUUUUGGAAAAGUAUACUAUAUACACACAAUUAGAAUUCCAGAAGAAAGAAAAACAGGAGAAAGAGAAUGGGGCCAAAAAAUUUAAAAAAAUAAGAUUUUCUCCCAAAGAAAUGUCAUAAAUAUGGGGACAUAUAUACAUUUGCAUAUUGAAGAAGAUCAUCAAUCAGAGGAGUCUUAAAAUGCCUGGGUAUGUCUCUGUCAAAUUGCUGAUAAUUAAGGGUAAUGAAAAAUUUCCAAAACAAUCAGAAAAAAAAGCAAGACAGUAUAUACAGGGAAACAACAAUGUGAAAACUACUAACAUCUCAUAAGGUACAAUGAAGACCAAACAUCUUUAAUGUGUUAAGAGAAAAAUAAAUAAAUAAAUACAUAAGUAAUAAACAUACAAAGUAGAAAUCUAGAACUCUACACCUAACAAUGAAGCCAAAAACAAGACAUUUUUAUGUAAAAGAAAAUCAAAACUGUGUCACCAAGGGAACUGCUGUAUAAGAAACACUAAAUAAUACAUGUGAAAAAAGUCACAGAUGAAAAAAUUAAAAAUUUUUUAAUUAGAGAAGUUCAAGUUGACAAAACAAUGAGAAGUCAGUUCAUGACAAUCAGUUGUCAAAUUUAAAUAGUCCAAAUAUAUCGGACUGUUUAUUAUCAUCGUCAUGGUUGCCAAAGUGGUCCAACACUAUUUGAUCUUACUUAUUCUUCUAAUUGGCAUUUUUCUUCAGCCCUUGACCUUUUGGAAUGUAUUUUCCAUUUGGCAUCCAGAAAUAUCCUUUUAAAUGUCAAGUAAGAUCUUAUCAGCCCUGUGUUUAAAAUCCUAUAGAGGAUCCCCAUCCUAUUCAGAUGAAUGCCAAAGUCAUUAAGAUAGUCAACAAGACCCAAAAGAAUCCCCUUGUUAUUCUUUGUUUUUUCCCCUAGCUCACUAAGCUACACUGGGCUCCUUGUUUCCUCAAAAACAAACAAGCAAAAAACAGAAACAUUCUCACUUAAUAUGCUCUUCCCUACAUCUGGUAUGUUGUUAUCCUAGAUAACUAAAUGGUGUGCUGUACUACUAUAUCCCUUGAAGUCAACAGAUCUUGGUUUACAUGCCACUUUAUCAGUGAUAACUUCCUAUAGCAGUUAAUUUUAAAAUGUAAUCUCACCCUCCCUCUGGAAUUUGCUGUCUUUCCUUGUUUUUCCCAUAACCAACUAGCAGAGUGCUAUUAAAAAAAAAAAAAAAAAAGAAGAAAGAAAUUUUCUAAUUCAUAAUACAUAAGAAAAUAAUCUCAUAAAUCAGAAGUAAUGAUUUCUUAGAAGGGCACAAAAAUAACUAUAAAAGUAAAAAGUUGCAACAAAAUUAAGGUGUCUUUUCCUAAGAAGACAUUAUUAAUUAAUAAAUAAUUGACAUGCUAAGAAAAAGAUAUUCCAAACAAUGUGACAAACGGCUGGAACCCAUUAUAAAUAGUUCCUACAAUUGAAUUUAAAAAAAAGAUGAGGAGUUCCCGUCGUGGCGCAGUGGUUAACGAAUCCGACUAGGAACCAUGAGGUUGCGGGUUCGGUCCCUGCCCUUGCUCAGUGGGUUAACGAUCCGGCGUUGCCGUGAGCUGUGGUGUAGGUUGAGGAAACGGCUCGGAUCCCGCGUUGCUGUGGCUCUGGUGUAGGCCGGUGGCUACAGCUCCGAUUCGACCCCUAGCCUGGGAACCUCCAUAUGCCGCGGGAGCGGCCCAAGAAAUAGCAACAACAACAACAAC
Molecule: long non-coding RNA, 3367 nt
Filed under: Sus scrofa (pig)
Lineage: Eukaryota; Metazoa; Chordata; Mammalia; Artiodactyla; Suidae
Description: lncRNA (ENSSSCG00000062667.1)
Source: RNAcentral